RNAcentral lists this ribosomal RNA (219 nucleotides) under uncultured bacterium. Its description in RNAcentral is "partial 16S ribosomal RNA". It matches the Rfam family "Bacterial small subunit ribosomal RNA", at positions 1274 to 1500 of the family's 1533-position model. The record is from RNAcentral.
CUCGAAAGCCUGUCUCAGUUCGGAUCGGAGUCUGCAACCCGACUCCGUGAAGCUGGAUUCGCUAGUAAUCGCGCAUCAGCCAUGGCGCGGUGAAUACGUUCCCGGGCCUUGUACACACCGCCCGUCAAGCCAUGGAAGCCGGGAGUGCCUGAAGUAUGCAACCGCAAGGAGCGUCCUAAGGUAAAACCGGUGACUGGGGCUAAGUCGUAACAAGGUAAC